Molecule: transfer RNA, 86 nt
Filed under: Chloroflexota bacterium
Lineage: Bacteria; Bacillati; Chloroflexota
Also listed under: 1 other name
Description: tRNA-Leu
Rfam family: tRNA
About the family: Transfer RNA (tRNA) molecules are approximately 80 nucleotides in length. Their secondary structure includes four short double-helical elements and three loops (D, anti-codon, and T loops).
Source: RNAcentral
GCCGAAGUGGCGGAAUGGUAGACGCGGCGGUCUCAAAAACCGUUGCCCGCAAGGGCGUGACAGUUCGACUCUGUCCUUCGGCACCA